This 514-nucleotide ribosomal RNA is filed under the name uncultured bacterium. Its description in RNAcentral is "partial 16S ribosomal RNA". It matches the Rfam family "Bacterial small subunit ribosomal RNA", at positions 28 to 523 of the family's 1533-position model. The record is from RNAcentral.
GAUGAACGCUGGCGGCGUGCCUAAUACAUGCAAGUCGAGCGAACUGAUUAGAAGCUUGCUUCUAUGACGUUAGCGGCGGACGGGUGAGUAACACGUGGGCAACCUGCCUGUAAGACUGGGAUAACUUCGGGAAACCGAAGCUAAUACCGGAUAGGAUCUUCUCCUUCAUGGGAGAUGAUUGAAAGAUGGUUUCGGCUAUCACUUACAGAUGGGCCCGCGGUGCAUUAGCUAGUUGGUGAGGUAACGGCUCACCAAGGCAACGAUGCAUAGCGGGCCUGGGAGGGUGAUCGGCCACACUGGGACUGAGACACGGCCCAGACUCCUACGGGAGGCAGCAGUAGGGAAUCAUCCGCAAUGGACGAAAGUCUGACGGAGCAACGCCGCGUGAGUGAUGAAGGCUUUCGGGUCGUAAAACUCUGUUGUUAGGGAAGAACAAGUACGAGAGUAACUGCUCGUACCUUGACGGUACCUAACCAGAAAGCCACGGCUAACUACGUGCCAGCAGCCGCCGUAA